AGAGUUUGAUCCUGGCUCAGGAUGAACGCUGGCGGCGUGCUUAACACAUGCAAGUCGAACGAAACACCUUAUUUGAUUUUCUUCGGAACUGAAGAUUUGGUGAUUGAGUGGCGGACGGGUGAGUAACGCGUGGGUAACCUGCCCUGUACAGGGGGAUAACAGUCAGAAAUGACUGCUAAUACCGCAUAAGACCACAGCACCGCAUGGUGCAGGGGUAAAAACUCCGGUGGUACAGGAUGGACCCGCGUCUGAUUAGCUGGUUGGUGAGGUAACGGCUCACCAAGGCGACGAUCAGUAGCCGGCUUGAGAGAGUGAACGGCCACAUUGGGACUGAGACACGGCCCAAACUCCUACGGGACGCAGCAG
RNAcentral lists this ribosomal RNA (366 nucleotides) under uncultured bacterium. RNAcentral's name for it is "bacterial SSU rRNA". It matches the Rfam family "Bacterial small subunit ribosomal RNA", at positions 8 to 354 of the family's 1533-position model. The record is from RNAcentral.